Molecule: non-coding RNA, 99 nt
Filed under: Frigoribacterium sp. 9N
Lineage: Bacteria; Bacillati; Actinomycetota; Actinomycetes; Micrococcales; Microbacteriaceae
Description: mraW
Rfam family: mraW RNA
Source: RNAcentral
UCUAGCCCGUGGGCCCCGACCCUCAGCCGUCAGCCCUGGCGCACCUUCCCCGGUGCCAGGUCCCGACGGAUGGGGAUCAGGGCCGACGAGCACAGCCCG